This 467-nucleotide ribosomal RNA is filed under the name uncultured bacterium. RNAcentral describes it as "partial 16S ribosomal RNA". It matches the Rfam family "Bacterial small subunit ribosomal RNA", at positions 28 to 506 of the family's 1533-position model. The record is from RNAcentral.
GACGAACGCUGGCGGCGUGCUUAACACAUGCAAGUCGAACGGAAAGGCCCUGCUUUUGUGGGGUGCUCGAGUGGCGAACGGGUGAGUAACACGUGAGUAACCUGCCCUUGACUUUGGGAUAACUUCAGGAAACUGGGGCUAAUACCGGAUAGGAGCUCCUGCUGCAUGGUGGGGGUUGGAAAGUUUCGGCGGUUGGGGAUGGACUCGCGGCUUAUCAGCUUGUUGGUGGGGUAGUGGCUUACCAAGGCUUUGACGGGUAGCCGGCCUGAGAGGGUGACCGGCCACAUUGGGACUGAGACACGGCCCCGACUCCUACGGGAGGGAGCAGGGGGGAAUAGUGCACAAGGGGCGGAAGCCUGAUGCAGCAACGCCGCGUGCGGGAUGACGGCCUUCGGGUUGUAAACCGCUUUCGCCUGUGACGAAGCGUGAGUGACGGUAAUGGGUAAAGAAGCACCGGCUAACUACGU